RNAcentral lists this ribosomal RNA (514 nucleotides) under uncultured bacterium. Its description in RNAcentral is "bacterial SSU rRNA". It matches the Rfam family "Bacterial small subunit ribosomal RNA", at positions 37 to 518 of the family's 1533-position model. The record is from RNAcentral.
UGGCGGCGUGCCUAAUACAUGCAAGUCAACGGCUUUCGUAUGGAAGCUUGCUUCCACUGAGAAGAUAGUGGGCGAACGGGUGAGUAACACGUGGGGUAACCCUGCCCAUAAGAGGGGGGAGUAACAUCCGGAAACGGGUGCUAAUACCGCAUAGUUUUCUUGAUCGCAUGAUCGGGAAAGGAAAGACGGCCUUUGUGCUGUCGCUUAUGGAUGGACCCGCGGCGUAUUAGUUAGUUGGUGAGGUAACGGCUCACCAAGACGAUGAUACGUAGCCGACCUGAGAGGGUGAUCGGCCACAUUGGGACUGAGACACGGCCCAAACUCCUACGGGAGGCAGCAGUAGGGAAUCUUCCGCAAUGGACGAAAGUCUGACGGAGCAACGCCGCGUGAGUGAAGAAAAGGGUUUUCGGAUCGUAAAACUCUGUUGUCAGAGAAGAACAAGUUGGAGAGUAACUGCUCCAGCCUUGACGGUAUCUGACCAGAAAGCCACGGCUAACUACGUGCCAGCCGCUGC